Molecule: ribosomal RNA, 520 nt
Filed under: uncultured Glomus
Lineage: Eukaryota; Fungi; Glomeromycota; Glomeromycetes; Glomerales; Glomeraceae
Description: SSU rRNA
Rfam family: Eukaryotic small subunit ribosomal RNA
Source: RNAcentral
AGCAGCCGCGGUAAUUCUAGCUCCAAUAGCGUAUAUUAAAGUUGCUGCAGUUAAAAAGCUCGUAGUUGAAUUUCGGGACUAAUAUGUUGGUCGUGCCUCGGUACGUACUGAUAUUUUUGGUUUCUCCCUUCUGACGAACCUUGAUGUCAUUAAUUUGGUGUCUUGGGGAAAUCAGGACUGUUACCUUGAAAAAAUUAGAGUGUUUAAAGCAGGCUCACGCUUGAAUACAUUAGCAUGGAAUAAUGAAAUAGGACGUUUGAUUCUAUUUUGUUGGUUUCUAGGAUUGACGUAAUGAUUAAUAGGGAUAGUUGGGGGCAUUAGUAUUCAAUUGUCAGAGGUGAAAUUCUUGGAUUUAUUGAAGACUAACUACUGCGAAAGCAUUUGCCAAGGAUGUUUUCAUUAAUCAAGAACGAAAGUUAGGGGAUCGAAGACGAUCAGAUACCGUCGUAGUCUUAACCAUAAACUAUGCCGACUAGGGGAUCGGAUGAUGUUAAUUUUUUUAAUGACUCAUUCGGCGCCU